AUUAGAUACCCUGGUAGUCCAUGCCGUAAACGAUGAGUGCUAAGUGUUGUGGAGGUUUCCGCCUCUCAGUGCUGCAGCUAACGCAUUAAGCACUCCGCCUGGGGAGUACGACCGCAAGGUUGAAACUCAAAGGAAUUGACGGGGGCCCGCACAAGCGGUGGAGCAUGUGGUUUAAUUCGAAGCAACGCGAAGAACCUUACCAGGUCUUGACAUCUAGUGCCAUCCUAAGAGAUUAGGAGUUCCCUUCGGGGACACUAAGACAGGUGGUGCAUGGCUGUCGUCAGCUCGUGUCGUGAGAUAUUGGGUUAAGUCCCGCAACGAGCGCAACCCUUGUUAUUAGUUGCCAGCAUUAAGUUGGGCACUCUAAUGAGACUGCCGGUGACAAACCGGAGGAAGGUGGGGAUGACGUCAAGUCAUCAUGCCCCUUAUGACCUGGGCUACACACGUGCUACAAUGGGCAGUACAACGAGAAGCGAGCCUGCGAAGGCAAGCGGAUCUCUUAAAGCUGUUCUCAGUUCGGACUGCAGUCUGCAACUCGACUGCACGAAGCUGGAAUCGCUAGUAAUCGCGGAUCAGCACGCCGCGGUGAAUACGUUCCCGGGCCUUGUACACACCGCCCGUCACACCAUGGAAGUCUGCAAUGCCCGAAGCCGGUGGCCUAACCACUUAUGUGGAAGGAGCAGUCUAAGGCAGGGCAGAUGACUGGGUGAAGUCGUAACAAGGUACC
This 727-nucleotide ribosomal RNA is filed under the name uncultured bacterium. RNAcentral's name for it is "bacterial SSU rRNA". It matches the Rfam family "Bacterial small subunit ribosomal RNA", at positions 777 to 1500 of the family's 1533-position model. The record is from RNAcentral.